CUAGUAUAAUCCAGAUAUACUAGCCUUCCGCAUAGCUGAUUCUAUUACAUAUUGACAAGUACCCGUAUAAUAAAGAUUUACUAGCCUUCUGCAUCGCAUAUUCUAUUACAUAUU
Molecule: long non-coding RNA, 114 nt
Organism: Haliotis rubra (blacklip abalone)
Lineage: Eukaryota; Metazoa; Mollusca; Gastropoda; Lepetellida; Haliotidae
Exons: 2
Source: RefSeq, a predicted model, not a curated record